Molecule: small nuclear RNA, 334 nt
Filed under: Erinaceus europaeus (western European hedgehog)
Lineage: Eukaryota; Metazoa; Chordata; Mammalia; Eulipotyphla; Erinaceidae
Description: 7SK RNA
Rfam family: 7SK RNA
About the family: 7SK was discovered as an abundant small nuclear RNA in the mid-70s but a possible function has only recently been suggested. Two independent studies have found that 7SK RNA binds the CDK9/cyclin T complex (known as elongation factor P-TEFb).
Source: Rfam by way of RNAcentral
GGAUAUGAGGGCGAUCUGGCUGUGACAUCUGUCACCCCUUUGAUCAAUCGCCAGGGUUGAUUUGGCUGAUCUGGCUGGCUAGGCGGGUGUCCCCUUCCUCCCUCACUGCUCCAUCUGCAUCCCUCCCGAAGCUGCGUGCAGUCCAAGAGGAUGGCCUUCCCCGAAUAGAGACCCGCCCGACUUCGGUAGAGGGUAUAAGAGUAGCUGCGCUCCUCUGCUAGAACCUCCAAACAAGCUCUCAAGGUCCAGAUGGCCCUUGACAAAAUAAAAGGUUUAAGGGUAUACUCUGGAGCAAUCUAAUGGUUUCAAGAUGGUAAUCACCAGGUAACUGAUU